AAUAUGCACGUGGAGAAAGUAGUAUAAAAAUAUACUUUUAGCCACUGUCAGUGUUCAUAACUCACUCUCUACAAACAGACUCUUCACUAAAGCCCCACCCUGCCUCCUGAGCUCCCCAAGUUUUGCUAGGUUUUAUCACCCGACCCACCCCCGACCCCCCCAUAGUUUUUCAGAAUGCAGGUGAGAACAGCCCAGUGCUAUUAUCAGCAGGGCACUGAGUUCACUAAGAGAGGACUGAGAAAGACUGAAAGACAAAUGGCUAGUUGUGGUUUUCAGGUGAGCUUGCUCUGUUAAUCUGGGCUGAAAUGGACAGGAACAGGUGGUGUGGCGGAGGAGAGGAUGGGUAGGGGUUGCUCUGGCCAAGAGCAGGUUGCCAGCUGGGCCAGUGAUCUAGUUCUGUUGUCAGUGUACCCACAGCAGUGGAAAAGGGACCUUUUCACAUAAAAGGCAAUCUUGACAAACUUUCUGAAAACGUUAAUGAGGUAUAAAUGAAUAAUCUUAGUAAGUUGAAGUGCUGAAUUUGCUAAGCGAACUGAGCUGAGGUUCAAAGAUUUGAAGCGCUACUGUAUUUUCUAUAUUCCAAUAUACAGCAGUGUGGUGGGGCGGAUGGGUGCGAACGCCGCUGGAGUCAUUUUGUCUUGGUGCUGUAGCAGAUGUGCUAUACUGGGACCUCUGGACAGAGAAAGCACAGUUAGGGAUGGAAUUUGGUAAUAAAACUCAUUCUAGCUAAAAGUGGGUUUUUCUUUUUAAAGUUUGAAUCUACAUACAAAUGUAACAAAUUAGUGUAUGUGUAUAGAUUUGAAGAAUUUGCAAUAUGGAGAAAAGGUGAUGGGAGUUUGUUAGAGAUUAAAAAGUGCUGAGGAAAAAAAUAUGAUCAGAAAAAAAAAAUGUGGGCUCUUGUAUUGCUGUGUCCUUGCUCCACCUGGUGGAUUUUGCUGAAAGUGUUUAAGUCUGUGUUAAUGAAAAGAAUUAACCACUACACAGUUCCUCUGAGCAUAGCAAGAGUCUUGUUGGUGUUUAAAAUAUUCCUAUGUUUAUGGUUUUUGUUCUGUAAUUUCAUUGCAUUGAAAGAAAUGUAUAUUAUAUAGAAUCCAUGUGGUUCAAACAUAUGUAUGUUCGUUUUCGGAAAUUUGGAAUAUUCCGAAAGUAACCCUCACAUGAAAUCCCCCUGCAUAGGGCCAUCAUUACCAGUUCCACACUUAGUAUUACUUAUUCUGGAGCCCCAGCUGGUUCCGAUCUUGCUCUGUAAAUUAGCCUGGAUUUGAACUUGUUCCACUCCUCUAAGCCUCUACUAUUGGAUUGGUUUUAAGGAUAGAUGUUAUCAGAAGAGAACCAGCUUGCAUUUUCGCUGAUUUAAAAAUACGUUGAAUGUUUACUACUAAGUCAAAGAAUGAUGACAGGCAUCGGGCUGAUUAUAAUCAUUUUUGCAGAACUGCUUCUCAGGCUCAAAGGUGGUGGUGUGUCAGUGUUUAGCAGAAAGGUUUUUUUCUCAUUGAGCUUCAUGUCCAAGACACAAAGGUAGAGACUAACGGUGCCUUAUGCAUUCAUGGGGUUGGUAAUAUCUGUUGUUUGCUGGCCUUGUACAGACUGCUUUCUCUGGCAAUCUUAAGAAUUCAGUUGUGCUUUGAUCAGCUUACUGCUUUCCUUAGGUUAUUAUUAUUUUUUUAAUCCCUUAGAUUCUUACAUCGCUGUAACAGAAGGUGAAGUUUUGAAAACAGUGUCUCCAUAUGCAAGGGAUUUGGAGACCUUUUUAUUGUCUUUAACACUGUCAUUCAUGGUCCUCAUUAGCAUUUAUUGUUGCAAGCCUACAAGCAGAAAAUGUGAAAUUGGUAUGUCAUGAAUAGCCCCACAGAGCUCUGGAGCCCUCUGAUUUUGCCUGCAGUGUGGUGUGGGCUGGGCUUUGAGGGAAAGCUGUCCAGAUGGCUGCCUGCACACAGCAGAGCUGCAGGUUUUUGUCUCUGGUGCUGAGAGGAGGGGAAGUUCACUGGAGCAUACGCCAUCACCCUUGCAUUUUAACAAAACUAACUAGCCAUUAGUCAAGAUGGGAGGGUGAUGACAUCGAGACAAAGGUUUUCCAUAUAGUGUUACAAGCUGUGUCACAGGAUAGGGCUGAGCUGCUAGGUACCUUCUCUUUUAACCCAGUGGGUUUUGUGGUUGGAAAACGAGAUGGAAAUGGUAACUUCUUUGCAAAUUGGUGUGCAGGUGGGUCUUUUACAGAUCUCUUUUUUAAAUUUGUUUAAAUUGGAAGAUGAUAUUUUAUGCUAAAAGAGUCUAUAAAGCUAGGAUUCCUCACUAGGGCUAAGAACCUAAGUGUUGUUUUAUUUAAAAGCUGAAAAGAAAGAAUUUAGACCAUUUUUCCUGCAGAGAAAUCUACUUUUAAGAACAUUAGUACAUUUAAGUCUCAUUUACAUAAAAUAAUGUUCAACCAAUGUGUGUUAAAAACAGUUUUCAGAUUUUAGAAUUUCUUAAAUGUUAGGUCUGAGAGUCAAAAGUUGUCAAUUAUAAAAGAUAUACAAUAAUAAAUAUACUGUGCUAGUAUAAGAUCAUGGCCACUAUUAUAAACAAAUAAUAAUUACAGAUACAGGUUCUAUUUUCUGUUAGCAAGUGAUAUUUUUGAGAUUUCAUUUUGCACAAAUACUAGUAAACCUACACAGUGUGCACAUAAUAACAGACAUAUUUGCUUUCAUAUGCGGAGUGUGUAUAUAUUUGAGGUUUUCUUCUUUUUUUCUCUUUCUCUUUCCUUCUGUUUCUCUCUCUGUGUCUCCCUCUCUGUCUCUGUUUCUGUCUCUCUCUUUUUGUCUCCCAUUCAUAAAGUCUUACUGUGCAGUUCUGACUGGCCUGAAACUUGCUAUGUAGACCAGGCUGGUUUCAAAAAUUCAGAGAUUCACAUGACUCUGUCUCCUGAGUAUUGGUAUUAAACAUAGGCAUCACCCUACCCACUGGAUAACAUAUGUUGACCAGAAUUCAAAAUAAAAUACAUUGCUACAUUGCUUCAAAAACUGCCAAAAUGAUUGUCAGUGCAUAUGUAUGUAUGUAUGUAUGUAUGUAUAUAUAUGGAGGAAAAUGCCACAGAGAUUGGCUUAUUAAGAAGACAUUAUUUUUUUGAGGCUGGAAGUUUCACACUAGUUUUAGAGCUCAGUAUUAACCCACAUAAGCUAACAG
Molecule: long non-coding RNA, 3162 nt
Filed under: Mus musculus (house mouse)
Lineage: Eukaryota; Metazoa; Chordata; Mammalia; Rodentia; Muridae
Description: long non-coding RNA chr4:13777117-13780279
Source: RNAcentral